Non-coding RNA from Schizosaccharomyces pombe (fission yeast), 268 nucleotides. The record is from the annotation of a GenBank genome assembly. NCBI's taxonomy places the organism in Eukaryota, Fungi, Ascomycota, Schizosaccharomycetes, Schizosaccharomycetales, Schizosaccharomycetaceae.
AAAUCACUGAGCUCGAGUCUCGACAAGAUGGUGUAGAUCGAUUUUGGCCAAUUACAUAAAGAACGAUAAUGAUUUCAAAACCACGUGCGAUAAAGCCUAUAUUUAUCGACGGAGAUAUGAAAUGAAUUUUUCUCGGCAAAUAGCAAUGUGAUGGAUAGAUUGCAAGAGGAAAGGAGAAAAUGGGGGUGAGCGUUUAUCGACCUGGUUAGGUUGCUGGAUACCAAAGGAAAACCCACGCAUCUUAGCUAUUGAAAUUCCUCGGAAAUAU